GCUACAGGCUUAACACAUGCAAGUCGAGGGGCAGCAUGGUCUUAGCUUGCUAAGGCCGAUGGCGACCGGCGCACGGGUGAGUAACGCGUAUCCAACCUGCCUUACACUCUUGGACAGCCUUCUGAAAGGGAGAUUAAUACAAGAUGUUAUCAUGAGUAAGCAUUUUCGCAUGAUUAAAGGUUUACCGGUGUAAGAUGGGGAUGCGUUCCAUUAGAUAGUAGGCGGGGUAACGGCCCACCUAGUCUUCGAUGGAUAGGGGUUCUGAGAGGAAGGUCCCCCACAUUGGAACUGAGACACGGUCCAAACUCCUACGGGAGGCAGCAGUGAGGAAUAUUGGUCAAUGGACGAGAGUCUGAACCAGCCAAGUAGCGUGAAGGAUGAAGGUUCUAUGGAUUGUAAACUUCUUUUAUACGGGAAUAAACGAAUCCACGUGUGGAUUUUUGCAUGUACCGUAUGAAUAAGGAUCGGCUAACUCCGUGCCAGCAGCCGCGGUAAUACGGAGGAUCCGAGCGUUAUCCGGAUUUAUUGGGUUUAAAGGGAGCGUAGAUGGGUUGUUAAGUCAGUUGUGAAAGUUUGCGGCUCAACCGUAAAAUUGCAAUUGAUACUGGCAGUCUUGAGUACAGUUGAGGUAGGCGGAAUUCGUGGUGUAGCGGUGAAAUGCUUAGAUAUCACGAAGAACUCCGAUUGCGAAGGCAGCUUACUAACCUGUAACUGACAUCGAUGCUCGAAAGUGUGGGUAUCAAACAGGAUUAGAUACCCUGGUAGUCCACACGGUAAACGAUGAAUACUCGCUGUAGGCGAUAUACAGUCUGCGGCCAAGCGAAAGCAUUAAGUAUUCCACCUGGGGAGUACGCCGGCAACGGUGAAACUCAAAGGAAUUGACGGGGGCCCGCACAAGCGGAGGAACAUGUGGUUUAAUUCGAUGAUACGCGAGGAACCUUACCCGGGCUUAAAUUGCAACCGAAUAUGGCGGAAACGCUAUAGCUAGCAAUAGCGGUUGUGAAGGUGCUGCAUGGUUGUCGUCAGCUCGUGCCGUGAGGUGUCGGCUUAAGUGCCAUAACGAGCGCAACCCUUGCCGAUAGUUACUAACAGGUCAUGCUGAGGACUCUGUCGGGACUGCCAUCGUAAGAUGUGAGGAAGGUGGGGAUGACGUCAAAUCAGCACGGCCCUUACGUCCGGGGCUACACACGUGUUACAAUGGGGGGUACAGAGGGCUGCUACCACGCAAGUGGAUGCCAAUCCCAAAAACCUCUCUCAGUUCGGAUUGAAGUCUGCAACCCGACUUCAUGAAGCUGGAUUCGCUAGUAAUCGCGCAUCAGCCACGGCGCGGUGAAUACGUUCCCGGGCCUUGUACACACCGCCCGUCAAGCCAUGGGAGCCGGGGGUACCUGAAGUGCGUAACCGCAAGGAGCGCCCUAGGGUAAAACUGGUGACUGGGGCU
Molecule: ribosomal RNA, 1441 nt
Filed under: uncultured organism
Description: SSU rRNA
Rfam family: Bacterial small subunit ribosomal RNA
Source: RNAcentral